AUGGAUGUCCAGAGGGACAAGCUUUCUUAUGGGAAAUUACCGGUGAUUUCCCAUUCGUCAUUUUUCUUACCUUCUAUGUAUUGCCAUCUUUUUUAUCAAGAUCUUAAUUUUUUAUCAUAUUUUUUUCAGCUUAAGCCCCAAUAUGGUCAAGACUAUUGCUUGUUUGGUGGUUUACAAGGUCUAGAUAAAUUCAUGCGUGUUCAUGCACCGCAAAACUGUUCUGAACAGGUAUUUUUAAUCAUUUUAGUGCGUUUGGGUAUUUUUGUUUUCCUUUUCCUGGUAAAUAUUGUUAUAAAGACCUGGUAA
This 306-nucleotide ribosomal RNA is filed under the name Triticum aestivum (bread wheat). RNAcentral's name for it is "partial small subunit ribosomal RNA". Lineage: Eukaryota; Viridiplantae; Streptophyta; Magnoliopsida; Poales; Poaceae. The record is from RNAcentral.